This 160-nucleotide ribosomal RNA is filed under the name uncultured Pseudomonas sp. Its description in RNAcentral is "partial 16S ribosomal RNA". It matches the Rfam family "Bacterial small subunit ribosomal RNA", at positions 369 to 524 of the family's 1533-position model. The record is from RNAcentral. Lineage: Bacteria; Pseudomonadati; Pseudomonadota; Gammaproteobacteria; Pseudomonadales; Pseudomonadaceae.
AGANNGGCGAGCCUGAUCAGCCAUGCCGCGUGUGUGAAGAAGGUCUUCGGAUUGUAAAGCACUUUAAGUUGGGAGGAAGGGCAGUAAGUUAAUACCUUGCUGUUUUGACGUUACCAACAGAAUAAGCACCGGCUAACUUCGUGCCAGCAGCCGCGGUAAU